RNAcentral lists this ribosomal RNA (621 nucleotides) under uncultured bacterium. RNAcentral's name for it is "bacterial SSU rRNA". It matches the Rfam family "Bacterial small subunit ribosomal RNA", at positions 54 to 711 of the family's 1533-position model. The record is from RNAcentral.
CAUGCAAGUCGAAGGAGAAGCCAUCUUCGGAUGGUGGAAACUGGCGCACGGGUGAGUAACGCGUGGGUAUCUACCUUGGGGUGGGGAAUAACCGUUGGAAACGGCGGCUAAUACCGCAUACGCCUUUAGAGGGAAAGCUCCGGCGCCCUAAGAGGAGCCCGCGUUGGAUUAGCUUGUUGGUAGGGUAACGGCCUACCAAGGCUACGAUCUAUAGCUGGUCUGAGAGGAUGAUCAGCCACACUGGGACUGAGACACGGCCCAGACUCCUACGGGAGGCAGCAGUGGGGAAUAUUGGACAAUGGGCGCAAGCCUGAUCCAGCCAUGCCGCGUGAGUGAAGAAGGCCUUAGGGUUGUAAAGCUCUUUCACCUGCGAAGAUGAUGACGGUAGCAGGAGAAGAAGCCCCGGCUAACUCCGUGCCAGCAGCCGCGGUAAUACGGAGGGGGCUAGCGUUGUUCGGAAUUACUGGGCGUAAAGGGCGCGUAGGCGGUAUGCCAUGUCAGGGGUGAAAGGCCUGGGCUCAACCUAGGAACUGCCUUUGAAACUGGCAAACUAGAGUCCGAGAGAGGAUGGCGGAAUUCCCAGUGUAGAGGUGAAAUUCGUAGAUAUUGGGAAGAACACCA